Long non-coding RNA from Mus musculus (house mouse), 3281 nucleotides. RefSeq annotates it as predicted gene, 40289. Lineage: Eukaryota; Metazoa; Chordata; Mammalia; Rodentia; Muridae. The transcript is spliced from 3 exons. The record is from RefSeq and is a predicted model, not a curated record.
GUGUUUGUGACAUCAGGACACAUUCUGGAAGUCUGGGUAUCAUCUUUUUUCCCCCAGCUAUGAGUAGGGAUAGCAGAACCACGAGGGAUAAGGGGUACUUUCCUCCUGGAAGGAUGAAGAUGUCUGCACACCAUCCUGUGUUGUGUAACUGGACCUGUUUCUAUAUCACACAAGUAACUGGCCCAGAGAUCCUCUGUCAGUUCCCAAAGACUACCCCUUGCAAAGGAAGCCAGAAACCCAAAGCCAGUGUUCUUGCUCCCAACUUCAAGGCUUUUCAAGUGCUCAUCUUCCAGAGAGGGAAUGUCUCAUAGUGAUGAGAGGGAUUUCUGUGCUUCCUGAUGCUUUUCCUGGUAUGUGAUUGCUCCCUUCCAAUCCACCUGUCUGCCCUUCUCUGCUGUCCCUGAGGCAUAUAUCCACCUCAGGCCCUUUGCACUUACUGAAUGGGAUGUUCUUCCCUCAGAUAACCCCAAGACUGGCUAUGUCCCUUCAUUUCUGACUCUACUCAAAUGCUGCGCUCCACAGAAGUGGCCUGCCCUCCAAGAGACCCUCACUUUGUUUUAGUUGUGCCUAUUAAUUGCUGCCUAUGCCUGAAGUGUUGCUGUGGACCAAGUCUGCUUUCGGCUUCCCUUUGAUAAUUUCACCUCUGCAGCAGAGACGCUUAGAUGUUGUGUUGACUGCUGUUUGUCGCACACCUAGAACAGCUGCCCAUGCCAUAGAGAUUCAUUCAGUACUGUCGGGGUGAAGGAAUGAAUGGGUAGAAAGAAGUCCAAGAGAGACUUGUGUGAAGGCCAUUGUCACUGUUGCUGUGAAAGUCCUCUGUUCUCCUCCCUGGGGAAUGACAGAAAAGCAGAGCUGACUGGGCUCCAACCCCGGUGAGGAAGCAGAGACUCACCUCUGACUGGGGAGGCUGCCUGGGACCAAUGGGCAUUUUACCCCCUCACCUCUGAUUAUUGAGCUGGGACCUUAAUUUACUGGGUCCAUCCCUGAGUUAGUUUCUCAAGCCUUCCUUGUGACAUAAAAUAUAUUUUCCAAACCAGCAAGCCCUAGGAACCAGGUGGGCCUUGAGUUUGGAUGUGGACAUGCUGGGGAGUCUCUGAAGGUUCGGAACGUGAUGCUCAGAUCCAAAAUUAGCGUGUUUGUGCUGUACUUUCUGUUCCUUUUCCUUUCCUUUCUUUGAAAGAAGCCUGGAGCUCAGGCUAGACCGGCUGCCCAGCACAGAGAUGACAACACACGCCACCAGGUUCUGCUUUGUUUCCACGUAGGAAUCUGGCCCAGACCCACACGCUAGGGUAGUCAGCACUUAACCAACUGAGCUGUCUCUCCAGCUCCAAGGUUUCCUAGGACACACUUCCCCGUGGUGGAAGCCCUCAUGUGAGGCUGGCGAAUCUGCUCAUCAUGCAACUGGGCGAGCAGCAGCACCCAAGGCUUCGUGGACAACACAGAGAUGCUUUAGGACUGAGGCUAGUAUCCUGGACAUACUGGGAGGGAUUCUGCCAGAAUGGAUUCCAGUACAGGAAGAACGCUUGCUGUUUCUCCAGGAAGUUCCUGCUCCACCACAGAAAAGAGAAACAAAUGGCUUCCAAUUCAGUUAAAUUGGAGGCAGCUUUCACCCUCCUGUUUCAGGAAGGUCUGUGUUGUCUGGGCCCUGUGGCCAUGGAAUGUCAACAGCCUCACCUUACCAGCAGGACACUGGGGGACUGUAAAGAGCUCACUGUGAUCAAAUUCUUCUGUCCCAGGUUUAUCUAAUUAAGUAGAUUCUUUUCAUUUUAACCAGAGCUACAUCAAACUGUAGGUGUCCCGUGUGUAGAUCAACCUGUGAGAAGAUCAGUUCCAGGAUAAGGAAUGGGUGCUCGAAUUGCCCUGAUGAACAAGGUUCCCAUUACAGUGGCACACAGAGGCAAAUCCUGCUAAUCCCAGCUCUGACUGUUUCCUCGGGAUUUGAAUAGUGGCCUGGAAUAUGCUCUUCUGCAUGCAGUUUCUGCACACCGAAGACACAGAGCAGCCAGGAGGCAGCUCUGUUCUCUGAAAAAUAUCCAUUCAGUUUUACAUUGUUGAGUAGCCACAUGCUAGAUACCAGGUAUCAACUCAGCCUCAGGCUGGCCAGAAAGAGAUGUAUGGACAGACAGUGGGACCGGUCCAAGAGAGGAAUGCUCCAGUCUGUUGGGUACCAACAUGUAUAACUCUCGUCCAAGUGUCUUCCUACUGAACCCUGGUGGCAAGGUCAUAUGCAACUGAACAUUAAGCAGUCUCUGUUCAGAUUCUAGAGCCCACUCUCUUCCUGGCUCUACUGAUGCUUGUGAUGUUUGUGAUGCAGGAUGUGUGACCACCAUGCUGACAGCUAGACCAUGACAUGUUCUGAGGAGAUGAGCAGAUGUCUAUUCAUCUCAGAUCACUACCAGUAAACCAAAGAAAUGACUCCACCCAAGACUAGCCAGUCUCAGUUUAAGUCCAAAGGCAUCAGACUCAGGAAGCCAAUGCUACAGCCCUCAGCCAGAGUCCAGGAGGCUGGGAAGCCAGGAAGUCACUGGAAUACAUUCUCCAGAGGAAGGUCAGAGAUCCUGGACCUCAUGGCCAAUGACAGAAGAAUGUGCCUAUUCCAACACAGAACAGAAGUGCUACUCUCCCCUUCUCCUUUCCUUCUGAUCCUCCAUUAAAUAGACAACAGAUUCCACCCUACCCCCAAGCCUACCCCCUCCCUCUAGGUUUCUCUGGAGAUACCUUCCAGACACACCCAGAAGUAUUUCUCAGUAUCCUGCAUUGAGGAAUGGACAACAUGCUGUGAUAUUUUAAGAUAUAUAUGGAAAUGUAGAGACCAGAAGCCAAAAAUAUGCCUGAAAGGCAUGAAGCAGGGAGAUGACCUCUCCUGAUUUUAAAACUUACUACAAACUCUAGCAGUCAGCCUGAGAUCAUUAAAAUAACCAAAUUCACUAGGAACCAAAGAAGAACAUGGUGGGUCCACAGGGGAGGGAGUAGUGGUAUUACUAUUUAAAGCACACAGUGGCUCAGUUUCACAGCACAGUAGAAGGCUUCUAAUGAUGGAUAAAGGUGAUGGCUGCACAAUGAUGUGCAAGUACUUAAUGUUACUGAGCUUUUUUAUCUAAAAGUGACAACCCAUAGAAAAUGGAAAACUACUAUAGUUGGGACUGUGGAGAUGUCAGCAUGAGGCAGAGAUACAGAUCUAUGGGACAAAAUUGAAAGUCUAUUUGUGGACUCUUACAUUGGUAAUCAGAUUUACCUUUGAAGAAAGAAUUGUCUUUUCAGCACAGGACAACUGGAAAUCC